RNAcentral lists this ribosomal RNA (427 nucleotides) under uncultured Aquicella sp. Its description in RNAcentral is "bacterial SSU rRNA". It matches the Rfam family "Bacterial small subunit ribosomal RNA", at positions 355 to 774 of the family's 1533-position model. The record is from RNAcentral. Lineage: Bacteria; Pseudomonadati; Pseudomonadota; Gammaproteobacteria; Legionellales; Coxiellaceae.
UGGGGAAUAUUGGACAAUGGGGGCAACCCUGAUCCAGCGAUGCCGCGUGGGUGAAGAAGGCCUUCGGGUUGUAAAGCCCUUUAGGUUGGGAAGAAGGUUGGUGGGGGAUAAUCCCAUUAGCUUGACGGUACCAACAGAAUAAGCACCGGCAAACUCUGUGCCAGCAGCCGCGGUAAUACAGAGGGUGCGAGCGUUAAUCGGAAUUACUGGGCGUAAAGGGCGCGUAGGCGGUGAGAUAUGUGUGAUGUGAAAGCCCUGGGCUUAACCUGGGAAGUGCAUCGCAAACGGUCUGACUGGAGUAUAUGAGAGGGUGGCGGAAUUUCCGGUGUAGCGGUGAAAUGCGUAGAGAUCGGAAGGAACGUCAAUGGCGAAGGCAGCCACCUGGCAUAAUACUGACGCUGAGGCGCGAAAGCGUGGGGAGCGAACA